GACGAACGCUGGCGGCGUGCCUAAUACAUGCAAGUCGAGGGGCAGCAGGGAUAGCAAUAUUCGCUGGCGACCGGCGCACGGGUGCGUAACACGUAUACAAUCUGCCUUUUACAGGGGGAUAGCCUUUCGAAAGAGAGAUUAAUACCCCAUAAUAGUUGACCGGGCAUCUGGUUGAUUUGAAAGCUCCGGCGGUAAGAGAUGAGUAUGCGCCUGAUUAGCUAGUAGGUGAGGUAACGGCUCACCUAGGCUACGAUCAGUAGGGGAUCUGAGAGGACUAACCCCCACACGGAUACUGAGACACGGAUCCGACUCCUACGGGAGGCAGCAGUAAGGAAUAUUGGACAAUGCCCGCAAGGGUGAUCCAGCCAUGCCGCGUGCAGGAAGAAGGCCCUAUGGGUCGUAAACUGCUUUUACACCGGAGAAAACCUCCCUCGUGAGGGGAGCUGAUAGUAUGGUGAGAAUAAGCAUCGGCUAACUUCGUGCCAGCAG
RNAcentral lists this ribosomal RNA (489 nucleotides) under uncultured bacterium. RNAcentral describes it as "bacterial SSU rRNA". It matches the Rfam family "Bacterial small subunit ribosomal RNA", at positions 28 to 514 of the family's 1533-position model. The record is from RNAcentral.